Molecule: ribosomal RNA, 888 nt
Filed under: gamma proteobacterium SCGC AAA288-G17
Lineage: Bacteria; Pseudomonadati; Pseudomonadota; Gammaproteobacteria
Description: SSU rRNA
Rfam family: Bacterial small subunit ribosomal RNA
Source: RNAcentral
ACGCUGGCGGUAUGCUUAACACAUGCAAGUCGAACGGAAACGAAACUAGCUUGCUAGUAGGCGUCGAGUGGCGGACGGGUGAGUAACGCGUAGGAAUCUGCCUGAUAGUGGGGGAUAGCCCGAAGAAAUUCGGAUUAAUACCGCAUAAUCUAUUCGUAGUAAAGUGGGGGACUUUCGAGCCUCACGCUAUCAGAUGAGCCUGCGUAAGAUUAGCUUGUUGGUAGGGUAAAAGCCUACCAAGGCAACGAUCUUUAGCUGGUCUGAGAGGAUGAUCAGCCACAUCGGGACUGAGACACGGCCCGAACUCCUACGGGAGGCAGCAGUGGGGAAUAUUGGACAAUGGGGGCAACCCUGAUCCAGCAAUACCGCGUGUGUGAAGAAGGCCUGAGGGUUGUAAAGCACUUUCAAUUGUGAAGAAAAGUUAACGGUUAAUAACCGUUGACCUUGACGUUAACUUUAGAAGAAGCACCGGCUAACUCCGUGCCAGCAGCCGCGGUAAUACGGAGGGUGCAAGCGUUAAUCGGAAUUACUGGGCGUAAAGCGUGCGUAGGCGGUUUAUUAAGUCAGAUGUGAAAGCCCCGGGCUUAACCUGGGAACUGCAUUUGAAACUGGUCAACUAGAGUAUGGUAGAGGAAAGUGGAAUUUCUGGUGUAGCGGUGAAAUGCGUAGAUAUCAGAAGGAACAUCAAUGGCGAAGGCAGCUUUCUGGACCAAUACUGACGCUGAGGUACGAAAGCGUGGGUAGCAAACAGGAUUAGAUACCCUGGUAGUCCACGCCGUAAACGAUGAUAACUAGCCGUUGGGGGGAUUUACCCCUUAGUGGCGAAGCUAACGCGUUAAGUUAUCCGCCUGGGGAGUACGGCCGCAAGCUAAACUCAAAUGGAAUGCG